AGGUAGGGUUCUGAGAGGAAGGUCCCCCACAUUGGAACUGAGACACGGUCCAAACUCCUACGGGAGGCAGCAG
RNAcentral lists this ribosomal RNA (73 nucleotides) under uncultured bacterium. RNAcentral describes it as "partial 16S ribosomal RNA". It matches the Rfam family "Bacterial small subunit ribosomal RNA", at positions 281 to 354 of the family's 1533-position model. The record is from RNAcentral.